Molecule: ribosomal RNA, 466 nt
Filed under: uncultured bacterium
Lineage: Bacteria
Description: partial 16S ribosomal RNA
Rfam family: Bacterial small subunit ribosomal RNA
Source: RNAcentral
GAUGAACGCUGGCGGCGUGCUUAACACAUGCAAGUCGAACGAUGAAGCCCAGCUUGCUGGGUGGAUUAUUGGCGAACGGUUGAGUAACACGUGAGUAACCUGCCCUUAACUCGGGGAUAAGCCGGGGAAACUGGGUCUAAUACCGGAUAGGAGCGUCCACCGCAUGGUGGGUGUUGGAAAGAUUUAUCGGUUUUGGAUGGACUCGCGGCCUACCACCUUGUUGGUGAGGUAAUGGCUCACCAAGGCGACGACGGGUAGCCGGCCUGAGAGGGUGACCGGCCACACUGGGACUGAGACACGGCCCAGACUCCUACGGGAGGCAGCAGUGGGGAAUAUUGCACAAUGGGCGCAAGCCUGAUGCAGCGACGCCGCGUGAGGGAUGACGGCCUUCGGGUUGUAAACCUCUUUCAGUAGGGAAGAAGCGAAAGUGACGGUACCUGCAGAAGAAGCACCGGCUAACUACGUG